GGUGGUUCUCGGGUGACACAUUCCAGAAUUGGGCUUCCUCCUUUCUGGUUCCAGGUGCAUCACCCAAGAACCACA
This is a non-coding RNA of Myotis davidii, 75 nucleotides long. The record is from Rfam. Lineage: Eukaryota; Metazoa; Chordata; Mammalia; Chiroptera; Vespertilionidae.